AGAGCUAUAAAAUGAAAAUGCUUUUUUUAUGGGUGCAUAAUAGGAUUUUGCCAAAAAAAAAAGAAAACCUUUUAUUUUGGUUCUCCCCUUCCUAUAACAUAAUCUCACACUUGGAGCUCAUAAUUUAUUUUUGUGCUGAAUUUAUUGUGCUCUUGUAAGAAAUUACUAUUGAUCAGUAUUUGGUUUCUAGAUUGUGAUUUCUUUAUUUAGUGUCAUCAAUAUUUUUUUCAUCUCUAUGAGAAUGCUAAAUUAAAUUAACGGGGUUAGGGCUCAUAAUUUGUUUUGGUGCUGAAUUUUUAGUGUUAUUGUUUGAAAUUACUGAUAUCAAUAUGUGAUUUCUAGAUUGUGAUUUAUUUAUUUAAUGUUACCAGUAUUUUGUUCAUCUUCGUGUUAUGUUUUAUGAGAAAAUUGAAUUAAAUUCAUAGGGUUAGGGCUCUUAAUUUAUUUUGAUGCAGAAUUUAUAGUGUUAUUGCAAGAAAAUCAUAAGAUUCAACUUUAACAUUUUUAAUUUUAUGAUGGAUGGAUAUUUCUUAGUCCCACUCUACUUGGAAUCAUGUGAUUUGUGAAUAGCCACAAAUGUGUGGUACAUUGUUUUCUAUGCCUUUAUUAUUUCUGGUCAAUAAUGGGGUAUUGCAUUUCAUUACAUUCUUAUUUUCACUUGUGUUGUCUUGCCUAAGCAAUCACAUUGCAAAAUUGAGAAUGACACACUUAUUUGUGUGUCAAAGCUUAUAUUUCUCUCUCAUUUCUAUUAUAUUUUUUAUGAUAUUUUAUUCUUGGUGAAGCUCUUCAAAUUUCCUAAAGAAGCCCUAAAUUUAAUUUUAAUAUUCUUGCUCAAAUCCGUGCAUUUUCAUUGUUUAAUCGAGGGACCUGUGUAGAGCUUGUAAAAUCUGUUGUCUUUGAAAUGCCUCUUUCAUUUCUUACUUUUAUUUAUUUAUUUAUUGUUGUUGAAGAUCUUCAAAUCCUCUACAAAAAUGCUAAAUCGAUCUUUUUUAUUUCCACUUUUUACUCUUUCUCUAGAUUGUAAUUUCUUUAUUUACUGUGAUUAGUAUUUU
RNAcentral lists this long non-coding RNA (1052 nucleotides) under Amborella trichopoda. RNAcentral describes it as "long non-coding RNA (ATRI_LNC004990)". The record is from RNAcentral. Lineage: Eukaryota; Viridiplantae; Streptophyta; Magnoliopsida; Amborellales; Amborellaceae.